Molecule: ribosomal RNA, 468 nt
Filed under: uncultured bacterium
Lineage: Bacteria
Description: partial 16S ribosomal RNA
Rfam family: Bacterial small subunit ribosomal RNA
Source: RNAcentral
GACGAACGCUGGCGGCGUGCUUAGCACAUGCAAGUCGAACGGAAAGGCCCUGCUUUUGUGGGGUGCUCGAGUGGCGAACGGGUGAGUAACACGUGAGUAACCUGCCCUUGACUUUGGGAUAACUUCAGGAAACUGGGGCUAAUACCGGAUAGGAGCUCCUGCUGCAUGGUGGGGGUUGGAAAGUUUCGGCGGUUGGGGAUGGACUCGCGGCUUAUCAGCUUGUUGGUGGGGUAGUGGCUUACCAAGGCUUUGACGGGUAGCCGGCCUGAGAGGGUGACCGGCCACAGUGGGACUGAGAUACGGCCCAGACUCCUACGGGAGGCAGCAGUGGGGAAUAUUGCACAAUGGGCGGAAGCCUGAUGCAGCAACGCCGCGUGCGGGAUGACGGCCUUCGGGUUGUAAACCGCUUUCGCCUGUGACGAAGCGUGAGUGACGGUAAUGGGUAAAGAAGCACCGGCUAACUACGUG